AUAGAGGGGAGGGAUUCGAACCAACAUCAAAAAACUCAAAAUUUCGCACAUUACAUUAUGCUACCCCCUA
RNAcentral lists this transfer RNA (70 nucleotides) under Kinyongia fischeri (Fischer's chameleon). RNAcentral's name for it is "transfer RNA-Gln". The record is from RNAcentral. Lineage: Eukaryota; Metazoa; Chordata; Lepidosauria; Squamata; Chamaeleonidae.